RNAcentral lists this ribosomal RNA (497 nucleotides) under uncultured bacterium. Its description in RNAcentral is "partial 16S ribosomal RNA". It matches the Rfam family "Bacterial small subunit ribosomal RNA", at positions 28 to 507 of the family's 1533-position model. The record is from RNAcentral.
GAUGAACGCUGGCGGCGUGCCUAAUACAUGCAAGUCGAGCGAACGGACGAGAAGGUUGCUUGCCUGAUUUUAGCGGCGGACGGGUGAGUAAAACGUGGAGAACCUACCUAUAAGACUGGGAUAACUUCGUGAAACCGGAGCUAAUACCGGAUAAUAUUUUGAACCGCAUGGUUCAAAAGUGAAAGACGGUCUUGCUGUCACUUAUAGAUGGAUCCGCGCUGCAUUAGCUAGUUGGUAAGGUAACGGCUUACCAAGGCAACGAUGCAUAGCCGACCUGAGAGGGUGAUCGGCCACACUGGAACUGAGACACGGUCCAGACUCCUACGGGAGGCAGCAGUAGGGAAUCUUCCGCAAUGGGCGAAAGCCUGACGGAGCAACGCCGCGUGAGUGAUGAAGGUCUUCGGAUCGUAAAACUCUGUUAUCAGGGAAGAACAUAUGUGUAAUAAUAUGUUCACAUAUUGACGUUACCUAAUCAGAAAGCAACGGCUAACUACGUG